ACCUAUGGAGGGAAAGGAAAUCAGAUUGUUUUGACAUCAAUAUCAAAGCAUUCAACCACAUACAGGAGAGCCACUAGGUAAAACAACAUUGAAAUGUAGAACAUUGCAUAAUCGCAGAAUGCCAUAGUACAACAUAGAUUUAACUUUAGAGUUGGUCCCAUAGUAUGUACAGAAUGCAAACUAGGUCUACCAAUUCAAAUACACAAUGGAUUGUGUGAAGGGGCUCUAUCAAUCAUCAUGUACAAUAAGUACAUUACAGCUACAAUCGCCCAUGGCCCCGGACAGGAGUCUCUGAUCGCUUCGAGCUCACUUGAUUCUAAAUGAAUCUGACAAGAGCAAUGACAGAAUUGACAGGGCCAACCUACGACGCUUCCGUCGAACAGUGUCAGCACUUGAAUUGCAAGACCUCCACCUACAUGGGAGGCGCUUCACAUGGAGCCACGAAAGGGAAAACCCGACCCUUGUUCGCCUCGACAGGGUCCUUGUCUCCAUCGAGUGGGAAACAAUGUUCCCAAAUGCGCACUUGCGUGGUCUCGGCUCUGAGGCAUCAGAUCAUUCUGCGCUCUUGCUCCAAACCAACCUGGGUAGCUGGUGUAAGGCGCGUUUUCACUUUGAGGCAUUCUGGCCAUCGUUCGAUGACUACUGCGAGGUUGUGGCAGGGGCCUGGCAAUGCCCACUGAACGUGCACAAUCCUUUUAAAAGGCUGGACUACAUGCUACGAGCACUCGUGCGGAGGUUGCAGAGCUAGUCAUCAGGCAGGAUAGGCGAAGUCAGAGCCCAGCUUCUCAUCGCCAGAGAGCUUGUCCUACGGCUGGAUGUGGCACAGGAAAGACGGCAGCUGAGUGAAAUGGAACAGGGACUCCGGAAACAUCUAAAAAUGCAGUGCCUGGGCCUAGCCUCCCUGGAACGAACCAUUGCACGCCAACGAUCCCGAGUAAGGCAGCUCAAGGAGGGAGACGCCAACACAGCAUAUUUCCACAUGAUCGCGAGAGGCCGCAAACGGAAAAACUUCAUCCCGGUGCUCACCAUCGAUGGGCACACCAUAGCAGAACACUCAGACAUGGAGCUGGCACUGCACGUGCACUUUGUUGGAGUCUUCGGCUCGGUCCAGAUAGACACCAUCUCACCGAACUUCAUGAGCCUCGGCGUCAACCAAAUCGACCUAUCCGAACUCGAUGCUCCCAUCGGCGAAGUUGAGGUUUGUGCCGCGAUCAAAGAGCUGCCGAGUGACCGUGCGCCGGGGCCGGACGGAUUUACUGGCACGUUCUACAAGACCACAUGGCCUGUGAUUCGCUUGGAGGUAAUGGCUGCUGUUCGCGCGUUCGAGCAGGGGAAUUCAAGGCACCUGAACCUCUUGAACAACGCAGUCAUUGCUCUUCUUCCAAAAAAAUGGGCGCUACCAAUCCUGGAGACUUCAGACCAAUCACCAUGGUACACAGCUUUGCCAAGUUAAUUUCAAAGGUUCUGUCCUUGCGUCUUGCGCCGCGGCUACCAGACUUGAUCAGUAAAAACCAGAAUGCAUUCAUCAAGGCCCGAUCAAUCCAUGACUAUUACAAGUAUGUUCAGAGGGCUGCAGCUCUUAUCAGGAAGAAGCAGGUUCCUAUGCUACUACUCAAACUAGAUAUCUCAAAGGCCUUCGAUACUCUUUCCUGGCCGUUCCUCUUGGAAACACUUAGAGCACAUGGAUUCAGCGCACAGUGGUGCUCCUGGAUUGAGUCGCUACUCAGCUCUGCUUCCUCCAGGAUAAUGCUCAAUGGACGCCAGGGACCUCCAAUUAGGCACAUGAGAGGAGUCCGUCAAGGCGACUCUCUUUCCCCAAUGCUAUUCAUAAUUGCCAUGGAUAUCUUACACCGGCUGCUAGCGAAGGCGGUUCAGGACAGAAUGCUACGGCCAAUGCCGAUUCAGGAAAUCAAAUUCUAAUGCAGCUUGUACGCGGACGAUGCAAUCCUGUUCAUCCGGUCAACAGUACAGGAAGCACUGGCAGUGAAAGACAUCCUAGGCAUCUUCGGAGAAUCUUCCGGACUAUGCACCAACCUGGCAAAAAAUGUUCAGUAACCAACAUCUAUGGCGGAGAAGCAGCGCUGCCACAAAUCAUCUCAAUUCUAGGGUGCCAAGAGCAACAUUUUCCAAUCCGGUACUUGGGGCUGCCCAUAAGCGCAAGAACAAUACCAAAGGCCAACCAGCAGGCACUGGUGGAAGCAGUGGCAAGGAAGCUGCCGUCAAGCCAUGCGUCGCUAAUGAAUAGAAGCGGUAGGCUGAUAUGGGUGAAAUCAGUGCUGCGAUCUGUACCAAUUUAUGCAAUGAUGGCCGAGAACCUUCCUCCCUGGGUAGCCAAAGAGAUCGACUCCAUUUGCCGGAAGUUCUUCUGGUCAGGUACUGAUCAAUCUGUGCGAGGUCGAUGCAUGGUGGCUUGGAAAACGUGCUGCAGACCGACUCAUUUGGGUGGGCUAGGGAUCAGCGACCUACGCCUAACCGGGAAUGCCCUCUAGACAAGAUGGCUGUGGCUGCAACAGACGGAUGAAGACAGAGCUUGGACAUGGACACCAAAAACUUUAUUUGGAUUGAUCAACUCUCAAUAUAUCUCUAAAAGUUUUCCUUUAAUUUUUAGAAUUUUGGAAAUAUUUUCAUGGCUUUUAAAUGAUUUCAGCUUUUUCUGGAAUUAUUUUUGAACUAAAAAUAAAUUUCUAAAAAUCCCGUAAUUAAUAAUUUUUGAAACUUUUCCAAACCCUAGACCUAUAUAUAUGCCGGCGUAGCCCUCGACGCGCUGAUUCCAGAAGUACGAUCGGUUUCUCGAGCCGCCAUUCGUAGCCCCGUAGAUCCAUCGCCGAAGUUUUAGAUCUCAUUCCCGGCGAACUUUUCCGGCGAACGUUCGGCGAGCGUUUCCGGCCAUCUCCGGCAUCUCCUGCGAAAACCGACACCGCUGCGAGGUUCGUCUCGUCAUCCUCUACACCGGCACGCUAUCCUUUUCUCGAAUCCGUGCUCGUUCAUUGUUUCCCUAACUUUAUUUCUUGUUUUCCGGCGAGAACCUCCAUGAACGCAGUCUUCUUCGUUUUCGGCCACCGCGUCCCAGUGUGGCGUCACCGGUGACCCUGCACCCCGCGCCGCAAUCCCGUGCCUCCCCCGCAUGCCGCGCACGUUGCAGCAGCAACAGCCAACGGCGCCGGCCAAGAUGCCGCCACUACCUUGCUGUAGGCCGAGCAGGCCCUCCUCGCCCUGGACACCGCGCCCCCAGGCGGGUCUAGUCAAAGGAGGUUCAGGCUUUCUUCAAAGCCUCCACUUUCACUGUACUGGGAGACGGGCGCCGCACACUGUUUUGGGAGGACAGAUGGAUUGACGGCCUCAGUAUUGAAGACAUAGCGCCCUACAUCCAUGGGCGAGUGCAUAAGCGAGUAAGAAUGCGGCAAACUGUUAGUGAAGGACUGCAUAACAGAACUUGGGUUCGAUGCAUCAAUGGCGGCCUUUCAGUCACAGAGGUCAUCGAAUACCUCCAUCUGUGGACAACUCUCAACUCCUACGAGCUCACCGACGCUCCAGACCGGCUUGUCUGGCGGUGGACAGAAGAUGGGAGAUACACCGCCAAAUCAGCUUACUCCAUGAUGCACGUUGGCUCAAUCAAGAUGUGUGGACACAAGCUUGUGUAGAAAACUUGGGCACCACUGAGAAUCAAAAUCUUCCUAUGACUUGCUCUCAGAAGGAGACACUGGACCGGAGAUAGAAGACGGAGGCAUGGUCUAGAUGCACAGGCCAGCUACUACCUUUGUGAUCAGGCAGAGGAAUCCAUUGACCACAUCAUUGCUGAAUGCCCGCUGGCAAGAGAGCUUUGGUUUCACAUCCUCCAUUCGCUCGGGCAACAGUUACCACAAGCACAGCCGACGACAUUAAAAUGGUGGAGACAACUGCGCUCCACGUUCUCUGGUAUCCGCAAACCAGGAGCGGACUCCCUCUUCGCGCUAGUCUCGUGGACAAUUUGGAAAGAACGCAACGCUCGGUGCUUCAGGCAAUCUUCUGCAACCAUCGCCGAACUGCUCCAACUAAUCAAGGAUGAGGCCGAUCGAUGGAUACAGGCGGGAGCUCCUGGGUUAAAAGUUUUGGCGCAGGGAUAGUCCCUAGACCUUUACGUUCAGCUCUGGUUGUUUUCCUUCGCGAUGUAACUUACCGCAAAAUACUAACGCCGGGAGCGGCACUCUUGUAAGAUGCAAAUUCUUCUCUUCUAAUACAAUGAUAUGCACUCUUGUGCAUAUUCGAGAAAAAAUAAGUACAUUAAAGCUACGUAGAACAGCAGCAGCAGUGGUUGUGAUUUGUGAUAGCAUAGUCAUCACGAGUGAAUGAAUAGUGUGAUCCCUUCAGAUCAAAGUUCAGAAAGGCGACGCCUCAUCCCCGCCUAGCCGCGACUAAUCACUAGUCAAGGGGUUCCCGCCUGGCCUACGGGGUAGGCGG
Molecule: long non-coding RNA, 4437 nt
Filed under: Sorghum bicolor (sorghum)
Lineage: Eukaryota; Viridiplantae; Streptophyta; Magnoliopsida; Poales; Poaceae
Description: long non-coding RNA (SBIC_LNC005883)
Source: RNAcentral